UCUGAGCGGGAGGCAGAGCCAAAACCGUAACACCCAGAGCUAGAGACUCCGGCCUGGGGUCCUGGCUCUGUCCCGUAUCAGCUAGGAAACCUAGGGCAAGCUGCUUAAACUCUCAGAGGCUCAGCUUUUUCAUGAGCAAACAGGAAAACAGGGCUAAUGAUUAGUCCUUGGCUUAAAAUACAUCCCGCGUGUGAAAUUGCAGGUAUAUAAUAGAUUCACUAAAUGGGAGGGCGAGUUAUCAACACUUACUCUCCAAUGCGUCAUCACCCCCAAUACUCCUGUGUAUUUCCUGCAAAUAAGGAUCUUCUCCUACAUGGUCAGUCCGAACAACCUUCAGUCACAACUGAGAAGGUCAGGUGGUGCAUCACUGCCGCUCAGUCUCCCCAUGCCCAGUGAUUUCUUCACAAUUAGGGAUCUGAGACCCACAGUAUGGCAGUGACAAGAUCCAAGUCUUGGGACACCUAGCCAGGAGGGAAGAAUUUGAGGGAGAGGUGGAAAAUAUGCGAGGCUGAACUGACCUUCAAGGACAAGAAGGCUGUGUUCAAAUAGAUGGAGUUUGUCUUCUGGGAGAGGAGUGGGCUUAUCCAGGAUGAUCCCAAAGGCAGAUUGAGGACCAGUGGGAGGACAUCCUGAGAAAGCAGAUGCCAGCUUUAGGCAAGGAAGGACUUCGUAACAGGCAGAGAGCCCAUGUUGGAAACAAGCAGCUCUGCAAGGUGUGGGCUCACUGUCUGACUCCCUGGGGGGCUGCUGCCUUGGAAGAGGCUCCUGCUUAGAGAGGUUCUCCUGCCGCCAGCUGUCUCUCCUGAAUCCUGAGCACCACAUCUCUGAACCCUCUGGAGCCUCCCCUCCCUUGGCUUACUGCUCCCACCACCCUCUCUCUCCACCUUGCAAGAGACACUCUCCCUCAUCCUGGGUCAUCACCCUCUUUAGAGGCGCUGCCUGGCCACGAGUUUGGAUAUGGGGGGUGGGCAGGAUCUUGGCCUUACUUGAUGCAGUGCACACCUCCAACAGGCAUCACAUGGAGUGCAGCCGGGAGCAAGAUUCUCAUAGCAAUUACAAAGAUUCACAAGAAAAUGUGCCCUCCACUACACAGCUGUAAUUUACAUGCUUUCAAACCUGAUAUGGAAUGACUGUGGUUUCCCCUGAAAGAAGUAUCACUGAUCUCUGCACAGGAGAAACAAGGAUCUUGCUCUGUCACCUAGGCUGGAGUGCAAUGGCACACUCACGGCUCACUGCAGCGUCAAACUCCCAGGCUCAAGUGUUCCUCCUACCUCAGCCUCCUGAGUAGCUGGGACCACAGCACAGGCCCAGACACAAAGCAGAUGUGCAGUGGAGUGUGAAAGAGGCAGCCAACUCACUGGGGAGCUUCAGAGGGAGAUGGCCCAAAUUGCUGGGGCCUAAGAAUCUCCCGGAAUGAAGGAACAGUAGAAAGAACUGGAAGCCAAAUAUGGUGAUAGAGACAAUCAUCAAGGACACUGAGUAAACCAGAAACCUGCUUGGGCUCACGUUCCUUGUCUCUUCUUCUCAGAUCCAGGAAAGUAGCUGUCCAGGACAAUGAGGAUAGGCUGAGGAAAGACAGGCCACGGCCUUGCCUCUGUGCCAGCUCUCAUGGGCCAGGCAGAGUAUCCCAGGACAACUGCCUCCACAACCAGCUCCAUCCUUCAUCAACAAUUCAGUACCUGAUUAACAAAUCUGUACCCCAGGAGGUUAUGCCAAGCCCAACUUCUUCCAGAGACCACAACAAUAAAUCCAAGCCACUGCUAAUGUCAUUUAUAAGCUGUGGGAUUAAAACAGAGAAGCAAUCAAUUAAUUAAAAUUAGCUCUUUAUUGAAA
RNAcentral lists this long non-coding RNA (1833 nucleotides) under Pan troglodytes (chimpanzee). RNAcentral's name for it is "lincRNA". Lineage: Eukaryota; Metazoa; Chordata; Mammalia; Primates; Hominidae. The record is from RNAcentral.